Molecule: ribosomal RNA, 226 nt
Filed under: uncultured bacterium
Lineage: Bacteria
Description: partial 16S ribosomal RNA
Rfam family: Bacterial small subunit ribosomal RNA
Source: RNAcentral
GAGUUUUGAUCCUGGCUCAGGAUGAACGCUAGCGGCAGGCUUAACACAUGCAAGUCGAGGGGCAGCGGGGUGUAGCAAUACACUGCCGGCGACCGGCGCACGGGUGCGUAACGCGUAUGCAACCUACCCAUAACAGGGGCAUAACACUGAGAAAUUGGUACUAAUUCCCCAUAACAUUCGAAGAGGCAUCUCUUUGGGUUGAAAACUCCGGUGGUUAUGGAUGGGC